Molecule: long non-coding RNA, 698 nt
Filed under: Olea europaea (common olive)
Lineage: Eukaryota; Viridiplantae; Streptophyta; Magnoliopsida; Lamiales; Oleaceae
Description: long non-coding RNA (OEUR_LNC004192)
Source: RNAcentral
AAAUGAAUUGAGCUACUUAGUAAGAAAUAGCAUACAAGAUACAAUUUCUUGAAUUUUGAGGACACAAAGUGCACAUACAUUAGACAAUAAAGGAUUUCAAUAUAUUUUAUACAUGUACUUCUCUUUACCAAACAAAUCAAAGAAUGGAAUAAUAGGUUAAUCUAGAAGCUGAAAACAUCAAAUUGAAACAUUCAGUUCAAGAAUAUAUCCAUUCUGCAUGUCAAACAUUCAGUAAUCUCACAAGAUAAACCCUAGAUAAGCCCAGAAACUAGAAAUCUGUCAUACUACAUGAAAACUCAUUGCUAGCAGCCUAGCACAGUCGAGAUUCAGAAUACAUAAAAUCAAAAAGGAUAACAAAAAUAGUACGAAACAGAUCCUUGAUUUUCAUCAUUAUAUACUGAGAUUUGGAAAUUUUUGUGACGAAUCAAUAAAUAUGCCAAGGGAUUGAAGUUGCCCUGCAGGAGAAACAAAUUUGUUGGACAAUUUGAAAUCCUCAUUCAUUUCUCUCUUUAAGACAGUUGAAAAGCCUCUAAUAUAGCCACAUCUUCAUCUCCAUCACCACCAAAUUGGCUAAACGAUGGUGUCGGGGUGGUGGCGGAAGUGGCCCUACCUAGUGCCUUUAAGAGAUCUAAUGGCAAAAGCUUAAUUUAUACAGGACUUGGGAUUGUAGAAUAUGCUUGCUUCUCCCACCAGUUUAC